GGAGUUUUGCGCAAUGGGAGAAAUCCUGACGCAGCAACGCCGCGUGGGUGAGGAAGGCCUUCGGGUUGUAAAGCCCUUUCAGCAGGGAAGAAACAAAUGACGGUACCUGUAGAAGAAGCACCGGCUAACUCCGUUCCAGCAGCCGCGGUAAUACGGAGGGUGCAAGCGUUACUCGGAAUUACUGGGCGUAAAGCGCGCGUAGGCGGUUUGGUAAGUCUGAUGUGAAAUCCCACGACUCAAUCGUGGAAGUGCAUUGGAUACUGCCAGACUGGAGUGCAGGAGGGGUGAGCGGAAUUCCAGGUGUAGAGGUGAAAUUCGUAGAUAUCUGGAGGAACAACGGUGGCGAAGGCGGCUCACUGGACUGUAACUGACGCUGAGGCGCGAAAGCGUGGGGAGCG
RNAcentral lists this ribosomal RNA (398 nucleotides) under uncultured bacterium. Its description in RNAcentral is "bacterial SSU rRNA". It matches the Rfam family "Bacterial small subunit ribosomal RNA", at positions 358 to 770 of the family's 1533-position model. The record is from RNAcentral.